This 497-nucleotide ribosomal RNA is filed under the name uncultured bacterium. RNAcentral's name for it is "partial 16S ribosomal RNA". It matches the Rfam family "Bacterial small subunit ribosomal RNA", at positions 28 to 507 of the family's 1533-position model. The record is from RNAcentral.
GAUGAACGCUGGCGGCGUGCCUAAUACAUGCAGGUCGAGCGAACGGACGAGAAGCUUGCUUCUCUGAUGUUAGCGGCGGACGGGUGAGUAACACGUGGAUAACCUACUUAUAAGACUGGGAUAAUUUCGGGAAACCGGAGCUAAUACCGGAUAAUAUUUUGAACCGCAUGGUUCAAAAGUGAAAGACGGUCUUGCUGUCACUUAUAGAUGGAUCCGCGCUGCAUUAGCUAGUUGGUAAGGUAACGGCUUACCAAGGCAACGAUGCAUAGCCGACCUGAGAGGGUGAUCGGCCACACUGGAACUGAGACACGGUCCAGACUCCUACGGGAGGCAGCAGUAGGGAAUCUUCCGCAAUGGGCGAAAGCCUGACGGAGCAACGCCGCGUGAGUGAUGAAGGUCUUCGGAUCGUAAAGCUCUGUUAUUAGGGAAGAACAGAUGUGUAAGUAACUGUGCACAUCUUGACGGUACCUAAUCAGAAAGCCACGGCUAACUACGUG